GACGAACGCUGGCGGCGUGCUUAACACAUGCAAGUCGAACGGAAAGGCCCUGCUUUUGUGGGGUGCUCGAGUGGCGAACGGGUGAGUAACACGUGAGUAACCUGCCCUUGACUUUGGGAUAACUUCAGGAAACUGGGGCUAAUACCGGAUAGGAGCUCCUGCUGCAUGGUGGGGGUUGGAAAGUUUCGGCGGUUGGGGAUGGACUCGCGGCUUAUCAGCUUGUUGGUGGGGUAGUGGCUUACCAAGGCUUUGACGGGUAGCCGGCCUGAGAGGGUGACUGGCCACAUUGGGACUGAGAUACGGCCCAGACUCCUACGGGAGGCAGCAGUGGGGAAUAUUGCACAAUGGGCGGAAGCCUGAUGCAGCAACGCCGCGUGCGGGAUGACGGCCUUCGGGUUGUAAACCGCUUUCGCCUGUGACGAAGCGUGAGUGACGGUAAUGGGUAAAGAAGCACCGGCUAACUACGU
This 467-nucleotide ribosomal RNA is filed under the name uncultured bacterium. RNAcentral's name for it is "partial 16S ribosomal RNA". It matches the Rfam family "Bacterial small subunit ribosomal RNA", at positions 28 to 506 of the family's 1533-position model. The record is from RNAcentral.